This 25-nucleotide non-coding RNA is filed under the name Cricetulus griseus (Chinese hamster). The record is from RNAcentral. Lineage: Eukaryota; Metazoa; Chordata; Mammalia; Rodentia; Cricetidae.
GUAUAUUAACAGAUUCUUCAAGUUU